GUUAUUAUCCAUUACUUACCUCUCUUUAAUUUUUACUUUUAAUAAAAUUCAUAACUCUCAUAAUUUUUAUGUCUAUAACCUCCAAAUUAAAUUUAUAAGUUUGUAAUAUCUUAUGAUAUUCCUUUAUUUUGCCUAUAAAUUCAUAGUUUUAUGAAGAUUCACAUUUACAAUUAUCCUUUCUCUUUUCAUCAUAUAGGUUUGGUUUGUAACAAAAAAGAAGUACAUGAAGUUGGUUGCAUAUAAUGAAGAGUUUGACAUAUGGAUCAAAACAUGAUGGCGGAUCUCGUUGCAAAGGAAGAUGACAAAA
Non-coding RNA from Solanum lycopersicum (tomato), 307 nucleotides. Lineage: Eukaryota; Viridiplantae; Streptophyta; Magnoliopsida; Solanales; Solanaceae. The record is from RefSeq and is a predicted model, not a curated record.